AGUGAACGCUGGCGGCGUGCUUAACACAUGCAAGUCGAACGAGAACGGGUUAUAGCUUGCUAUAAUUGUCAGCUAAGUGGCGCACGGGUGAGUAAUGUAUAGGUAAUAUGCCUCUUACUAAGGGAUAACAAAUGGAAACGUUUGCUAAUACCUUAUACUCCUUAUUAACAUAAGUUAAUAAGGGAAAGAUUUAUUGGUAAGAGAUUAGCCUGUAUUGUAUCAGUUAGUUGGUGGGGUAAUGGCUUACCAAGACUAUGACACAUAACUGGUUUGAGAGGAUGAUCAGUCACACUGGAACUGAGACACGGUCCAGACUCCUACGGGAGGCAGCAGUGGGGAAUAUUGCACAAUGGACGAAAGUCUGAUGCAGCAGCGCCGCGUGGAGGAUGACACAUUUCGGUGCGUAAACUCCUUUUAUAUGAGAAGAUAAUGACGGUAUUAUAUGAAUAAGCACCGGCUAACUUCGUGCCAGCCGCCGCCGUAA
RNAcentral lists this ribosomal RNA (484 nucleotides) under uncultured bacterium. Its description in RNAcentral is "partial 16S ribosomal RNA". It matches the Rfam family "Bacterial small subunit ribosomal RNA", at positions 29 to 523 of the family's 1533-position model. The record is from RNAcentral.